CCUACGGGAGGCAGCAGUGAGGAAUAUUGGUCAAUGGCCGGAAGGCUGAACCAGCCAUGCCGCGUGAAGGUCAGUGCCCUAUGGGCGUUAAACUUCUUUUGUGCGGGAGCAAUAAUGGUCACGUGUGGCCAGACGAGAGUACCGUACGAAUAAGCAUCGGCUAACUCCGUGCCAGCAGCCGCGGUAAUACGGGGGAUGCAAGCGUUAUCCGGAUUUAUUGGGUUUAAAGGGUGCGUAGGCUGGGAGGUAAGUCAGCGGUGAAAUGCCCCCGCUCACCGGGGUGAAGUGCCAUUGAUACUGCCUGGCUGGAAUGCGGAUGCCGUGGGAGGAAUGUGUGGUGUAGCGGUGAAAUGCAUAGAUAUCACACAGAACACCGAUUGCGAAGGCAUCUCACGAAUCCGCGAUUGACGCUGAUGCACGAAAGCGUGGGUAUCAAACAGGAUUAGAUACCCUAGUAGUC
Molecule: ribosomal RNA, 460 nt
Filed under: uncultured bacterium
Lineage: Bacteria
Description: partial 16S ribosomal RNA
Rfam family: Bacterial small subunit ribosomal RNA
Source: RNAcentral